Molecule: ribosomal RNA, 497 nt
Filed under: uncultured bacterium
Lineage: Bacteria
Description: partial 16S ribosomal RNA
Rfam family: Bacterial small subunit ribosomal RNA
Source: RNAcentral
GAUGAACGCUGGCGGUGGGCCUAAUACAUGCAAGUCGAGCGAACGGACGAGAAGCUUGCUCCUCUGAUGUUAGCGGCGGACGGGCGAGUAACACGUGGAUAACCUUCCUAUAAGACUGGGGUAACUACGGGAAACCGGAGCUAAUACCGGAGAAUACUUUGAACCGCAUGGUGCAAAAGUGAAACACGCCUUGGCUGUCGCUUAUAGAUGGAUCCGCGCUGCAUUAGCUAGUUGGUAAGGUAACGGCUUACCAAGGCAACGAUGCGUAGCUGACCUGAGAGGGUGAUCGGCCACACUGGAACUGAGACACGGUCCAGACUCCUACGGGAGGCAGCAGUGGGGAAUCUUCCGCAAUGGGCGCAAGCCUGACGGAGCAACGCCGCGUGAGUGAUGAAGGUCUUCGGGUCGUAAAGCUCUGUUAUUAGGGAAGAACAUAUGUGUAAGUAACUGUGCACAUCUUGACGGUACCUAAUCAGAAAGCCACGGCUAACUACGUG